AGUCGAACCCGUGCCCACGGUCGUACGUGUGCAGGGUCAGGGAAUCCGGUGAGAGUCCGGAACUGACGCGCAGCGGUGAGGGUGACGGCGGGGCAGCAGCCACUGGACGACGGUCACGGCCGGGUCUGGGAAGGCGUCCCGCAGGGAUGAUCCCGAGUCCGAAGACCUGCUGGCGACCGAUCGUCCGC
Molecule: non-coding RNA, 188 nt
Filed under: Streptomyces oceani
Lineage: Bacteria; Bacillati; Actinomycetota; Actinomycetes; Kitasatosporales; Streptomycetaceae
Source: RNAcentral